GGCCUGGUGGUGUAAUUGGCUAUCGCGCUGCACUGCGUCAUAUGUAAUUAAUUAGGAAUGCAUGAGAUCACUGUUCGACUCGGGGUCAGGCCA
This is a non-coding RNA of Mycena metata, 93 nucleotides long. The record is from the annotation of a GenBank genome assembly. NCBI's taxonomy places the organism in Eukaryota, Fungi, Basidiomycota, Agaricomycetes, Agaricales, Mycenaceae.